RNAcentral lists this ribosomal RNA (510 nucleotides) under uncultured bacterium. RNAcentral's name for it is "partial 16S ribosomal RNA". It matches the Rfam family "Bacterial small subunit ribosomal RNA", at positions 28 to 507 of the family's 1533-position model. The record is from RNAcentral.
GACGAACGCUGGCGGCGUGCUUAACACAUGCAAGUCGAACGAAGAGCGAUGGAAGCUUGCUUCUAUCAAUCUUAGUGGCGAACGGGUGAGUAACGCGUAAUCAACCUGCCCUUCAGAGGGGGACAACGGUUGGAAACGACUGCUAAUACCGCAUACGAUCUAAUCUCGGCAUCGAGGAAAGAUGAAAGGUGGCCUCUAUUUAUAAGCUAUCACUGAAGGAGGGGAUUGCGUCUGAUUAGCUAGUUGGAGGGGUAACGGCCCACCAAGGCGAUGAUCAGUAGCCGGUCUGAGAGGAUGAACGGCCACAUUGGGACUGAGACACGGCCCAGACUCCUACGGGAGGCUGCAGUGGGGAAUCUUCCGCAAUGGACGAAAGUCUGACGGAGCAACGCCGCGUGAGUGAUGACGGCCUUCGGGUUGUAAAGCUCUGUUAAUCGGGACGAAAGGCCUUCUUGCGAACAGUUAGAAGGAUUGACGGUACCGGAAUAGAAAGCCACGGCUAACUACGUG